CGCACAUUUUCACGCGUAUCAGAAACCUGGUACGGAUACACACACUCUCUCUCCAGUUGGCGAAGUCGUUUGCCCCCUCGCACUCGUCCUCCGCACAUCUCGCUUAGCGCCUCUGCUUACGCGUCUUUGUGCGGCGCUGACAGCACUGCCUUAAUACGUUUUUUUUUUUCGCACCGACUGUGCUUUCCAUAGGCAUGCUGUUUGGUCAGCUUGUCUGCUACGGAUGCCAGCGCAUCCUCACUUACCCUCUCGGCGCCGUCAGCUGCCGCUGCCGAUUGUGCGAUAGGGUCAACGCGGCAGAAAACCUGCAGAUCAGAUGCAGCACAUGUGGACAGGAGCUCCAUGCGCCGAUCAACACGCUAGCACUCCUGUGCCCGUGCUGUGGUACCGUAACUGACAUCCCAGAGGAGCUACUGCCACCGCUGCCGAGCUGUGUCGACCUUGGUGGUGGCGAAGGAACGGAAAAGGUCAUCUACGUCUCACACCCGACUCUGCCGCCUCGGCCGCGCCCCAACGGCGAGGCCAACAUGAAUGCAGCUAGCUUCCACGGUUCACGGAGACCGUCGACGCAUCUCAGGGGUGAAGGGCGACGGCGCUCGGCUUCCUUCGCGCGGCGCCGCUUUUCGCGCCAGGAGCGUGAGGGUACAGCCGCACAGGGGAACAAGGAGGAGACCAUUGUCGAUGCUGACGCCGAUGGCGCGCGCGAGGCUGGAGGAGCGCACAGUGCGGAUGGAAAGCGCAGAGACACCAUUGGUCCCAUUUCGCCGGAUCAAGCUUAUGUAUCAUCAGCGGUCAGCGAGUCGUCGAGGAGGGCGCAGCGGGUGGCUCCGAGCCGCCUGGCGCCAACGGUUAUGAUUGCGACACGCAUUCUGUGAUAGAAGAUGAGGGGAAGCACUCUGGGAGUAGGUAAAUCAGUCUUUCGGCGUUCCCUUUGAGCCUUCUCUCCCAUCCACCCACCCGCGAGGUGAAGAGGGCGAUUCAAAAUCGUUUCUUGGUGAUCCCCCGCCUCUCCUUCCUUCCUCCCACCGAGUGUGGCUGCUGCUGUUGCUGAUCCCACUGCACGGAUGACAUCUUUCUCUCGCGCUGCUCUCUCUCCUUGGUGUGCACCGUCGCUUCCUUUCUUGUGCAUAUUUACUGUGUUCUGUGCGGGAGCCUAUCCUUUAGUCUUCUCUCUUCUAUUCGCGGACGGGGCCGUUGUCAAUGGUGGUCGUGGUUCGACCGUGUUUCUCAUGACGCUCACUGUGCACUGUGUACAGGUCUGUACAGCUUCUCCGCCGAUAUCGGCGCGACGCCCAGCAACAACAAAAAGGCCUUGGGCCGCCACCCCUUUUCCAUGUUGUGUUCUCGGGAUGGAAACCGACGAUUCCCACGCCCGCGCACACGCAGCUGCUCGGGUUCUGGCACAACAGGGGGGCGCCCCCUUGUGUGAGUCCCCUUUUCGCCGCUGCGUGUUUGUGGUCUCCCUGCUCACUGCUGAGAGCCCUGAGAACAAUAAACGAAAAGCGGCGGCGGGCCGGUGGGGAGGCUGUUCCACUCUUGAAAAGCCUCGCUCGCCUCGAGCCUGCGUCUCUCUGGGUGUCUUUAAUGUUGCGUUGAGGAUCCUUCACGGUGCCCUCUCACAAGAGCGGGUCGCCUCCUCUCGUCGUACCUGAAGUCACCCAUCCUACUGUCGUUUCCCCUCUCUCCUCGCUUUUCCCUCUCCCCUUCCUUCUCUUUAAUGGAAAACGUUUUUGUUUCGGGAUGUGGGAUGGGGGGCGCUCGCACUGCCUCAUCAAG
This 1776-nucleotide unclassified non-coding RNA is filed under the name Leishmania donovani. Its description in RNAcentral is "gene:LdHU3.14.0870(CDS-product:LSD1_zinc_finger_c ontaining_protein_putative)". Lineage: Eukaryota; Euglenozoa; Kinetoplastea; Trypanosomatida; Trypanosomatidae. The record is from RNAcentral.